CGCACGGGUGCGUAACGCGUGGGAAUCUGCCCUCUGGUACGGAAUAACUCAGGGAAACUUGAGCUAAUACCGUAUAAUGACUUCGGUCCAAAGAUUUAUCGCCUGAGGAUGAGCCCGCGUAGGAUUAGCUUGUUGGUGAGGUAAAAGCUCACCAAGGCGACGAUCCUUAGCUGGUCUGAGAGGAUGAUCAGCCACACUGGGACUGAGACACGGCCCAG
RNAcentral lists this ribosomal RNA (218 nucleotides) under uncultured bacterium. Its description in RNAcentral is "partial 16S ribosomal RNA". It matches the Rfam family "Bacterial small subunit ribosomal RNA", at positions 99 to 334 of the family's 1533-position model. The record is from RNAcentral.